AUAGGAAGAUAAAAGGCAUCUUUUAUCUCUUAAAAGACCUAGUAAUAGGUAUGCUUUAGGAGGGGCUUGCGCCAUAUUAGUUAGUUGGUAGGGUAAUGGCCUACCAAGACGAUGAUGUGUAGCUGGACUGAGAGGUUGAACAGCCACAUUGGGACUGAGACACGGCCCAAACUCCUACGGGAGGCAGCAGUAGGGAAUUUUCGGCAAUGGAGGAAACUCUGACCGAGCAACGCCGCGUGAAUGACGAAGUACUUCGGUAUGUAAAGUUCUUUUAUCAAGGAAGAAAAGCAAAUGGCGAACCAUUUGUUUGCCGGUACUUGAUGAAUAAGCCCCGGCUAAUUAUGUGCCAGCAGCCGCGGUAAGACAUAAGGGGCAAGUGUUAUCCGGAAUUAUUGGGCGUAAAGGGUGCGUAGGCGGUCUAGUAAGUCAGUGGUGUAAUGGCAACGCUUAACGUUGUCCGGCUAUUGAAACUGCUAAACUUGAGUUAGAUAGAGGCGAGUGGAAUUCCAUGUGUAGCGGUAAAAUGCGUAAAUAUAUGGAGGAACACCAGAGGCGUAGGCGGCUCGCUGGGUCUUAACUGACGCUGAGGCACGAAAGCGUGGGGAGCAAACAGGAUUAGAUACCCUGGUAGUCCACGCCGUAAACGAUGAGUACUAAGUGUCGGGUUAAACCGGUACUGAAGUUAACACAUUAAGUACUCCGCCUGAGUAGUACGUACGCAAGUAUGAAACUUAAAGGAAUUGACGGGACUCCGCACAAGCGGUGGAUCAUGUUGUUUAAUUCGAAGAUACCCGAAAAACCUUACCAGGUCUUGACAUGUUUUUGCAAAAUGAUAGUAAUAUCGUGGAGGUUACCAGAAACACAGGUGGUGCAUGGUUGUCGUCAGCUCGUGUCGUGAGAUGUUAGGUUAAGUCCUAAAACGAGCGAAACCCUUAUCGUUAGUUGCCAGCACGUUAUGGUGGGGACUUUAACGAGACUGCCAAUGAUAAAUUGGAGGAAGGUGAGGAUCACGUCAAAUCAGCAUGCCCCUUAUGACCUGGGCUACAAACGUGAUACAAUGGCUGUUACAAAGGGUAGCUGAAACGCAAGUUCUUGGCCAAUCCCCAAAAACAGUCCCAGUCCGGAUUGAAGUCUGCAACUCGACUUCAUGAAGUUGGAAUCGCUAGUAAUCGCGAAUCAGCAUGUCGCGGUGAAUACGUU
This 1200-nucleotide ribosomal RNA is filed under the name Bushehr sesame phyllody phytoplasma. Its description in RNAcentral is "bacterial SSU rRNA". It matches the Rfam family "Bacterial small subunit ribosomal RNA", at positions 173 to 1372 of the family's 1533-position model. Lineage: Bacteria; Bacillati; Mycoplasmatota; Mollicutes; Acholeplasmatales; Acholeplasmataceae. The record is from RNAcentral.